Molecule: ribosomal RNA, 253 nt
Filed under: uncultured bacterium
Lineage: Bacteria
Description: partial 16S ribosomal RNA
Rfam family: Bacterial small subunit ribosomal RNA
Source: RNAcentral
UACGUAGAGUGCAAGCGUUAAUCGGAAUUACUGGGCGUAAAGCGUGCGCAGGCGGUUUUGUAAGUCUGUCGUGAAAGCCCCGGGCUCAACCUGGGAAUUGCGAUGGAGACUGCAAGGCUUGAAUCUGGCAGAGGGGGGUAGAAUUCCACGUGUAGCAGUGAAAUGCGUAGAGAUGUGGAGGAACACCGAUGGCGAAGGCAGCCCCCUGGGUCAAGAUUGACGCUCAUGCACGAAAGCGUGGGGAGCAAACAGG